UAUAGCGAUUGCAAGCAUUCACUCCAACCCCUGUGACAUACCAAUUGUUGCCUCGGCGGAUCAGCCCGCUCCCGGUAAAACGGGACGGCCCGCCAGAGGACCCCUAAACUCUGUUUCUAUAUGUAACUUCUGAGUAAAACCAUAAAUAAAUCAAAACUUUCAACAACGGAUCUCUUGGUUCUGGCAUCGAUGAAGAACGCAGCAAAAUGCGAUAAGUAAUGUGAAUUGCAGAAUUCAGUGAAUCAUCGAAUCUUUGAACGCACAUUGCGCCCGCCAGUAUUCUGGCGGGCAUGCCUGUUCGAGCGUCAUUUCAACCCUCAAGCCCAGCUUGGUGUUGGGACUCGCGAGUCAAAUCGCGUUCCCCAAAUUGAUUGGCGGUCACGUCGAGCUUCCAUAGCGUAGUAGUAAAACCCUCGUUACUGGUAAUCGUCGCGGCCACGCCGUUAAACCCCAACUUCUGAAUGUUGACCUCGGAUCAGGUAGGAAUACCCGCUGAACUUAAGCAUAUCAAAAGGCGGGGAGGGAA
Molecule: ribosomal RNA, 526 nt
Filed under: Fusarium verticillioides
Lineage: Eukaryota; Fungi; Ascomycota; Sordariomycetes; Hypocreales; Nectriaceae
Description: eukaryotic LSU rRNA
Rfam family: 5.8S ribosomal RNA (bases 155-308)
Source: RNAcentral